This 214-nucleotide ribosomal RNA is filed under the name uncultured bacterium. Its description in RNAcentral is "partial 16S ribosomal RNA". It matches the Rfam family "Bacterial small subunit ribosomal RNA", at positions 524 to 737 of the family's 1533-position model. The record is from RNAcentral.
GACAGAGGGUGCAAACGUUGUUCGGAAUUACUGGGCGUAAAGCGCGUGUAGGCUGCUCGGAAAGUCGGAUGUGAAAGCCCUAGGCUCAACCUAGGAAGUGCAUUCGAAACUUCUGAGCUUGAGUAUCGGAGAGGGUCGCGGAAUUCUCGGUGUAGAGGUGAAAUUCGUAGAUAUCGAGAGGAACACCGGUGGCGAAGGCGGCGUCCUGGGACAU